This 474-nucleotide ribosomal RNA is filed under the name uncultured bacterium. RNAcentral describes it as "bacterial SSU rRNA". It matches the Rfam family "Bacterial small subunit ribosomal RNA", at positions 32 to 507 of the family's 1533-position model. The record is from RNAcentral.
AACGCUGGCGGCAUGCCUUACACAUGCAAGUCGAACGGCAGCACGGGAGCAAUCCUGGUGGCGAGUGGCGAACGGGUGAGUAAUAUAUCGGAACGUGCCCAGUCGUGGGGGAUAACGUAGCGAAAGCUACGCUAAUACCGCAUACGAUCUAUGGAUGAAAGCGGGGGAUCGCAAGACCUCGCGCGAUUGGAGCGGCCGAUAUCAGAUUAGGUAGUUGGUGAGGUAAAGGCUCACCAAGCCGACGAUCUGUAGCUGGUCUGAGAGGACGACCAGCCACACUGGGACUGAGACACGGCCCAGACUCCUACGGGAGGCAGCAGUGGGGAAUUUUGGACAAUGGGCGCAAGCCUGAUCCAGCCAUGCCGCGUGCAGGAUGACGGUCCUAUGGAUUGUAAACUGCUUUAUACAGGAAGAAACACUCCGACGUGUCGGAGCUUGACGGUACUGUAAGAAUAAGGAUCGGCUAACUCCGUG